GAGGAAGGAGGAAAAAGAGAAAAAGAUAUUUGCUCGAAUGGUGGACCGUCUGGACUGGAGGAAACGAAUACCCUUUCGGGGUAAUUGCGAAACCAGUUAAACCUUGCAAGCCUUUAUACGUCGCAUAAGUCGCCUUUGAACGCACGGAAAUAGGAUUUUGGCUAAGCUCGAAGCUUCCAUCCCAAGGUUUCUAUGGCUUUCCGCGUUUCCUUCGACAUCGAGGCUUUUAGAAGAAUCCUUGCCGAUGACUUUUACGUCUGACCUUUGUCCUCCUCUUCCUUAUUCCCUCUCGUCUAAGAAAGAAUUUGUAUUCAACUGUCUCUUCUUCUUCCUCUCGAAGGGUUUCUCUUUAA
Molecule: long non-coding RNA, 353 nt
Organism: Apis dorsata (giant honeybee)
Lineage: Eukaryota; Metazoa; Arthropoda; Insecta; Hymenoptera; Apidae
Exons: 3
Source: RefSeq, a predicted model, not a curated record